CCGGUUUGUAAAUCCAUCCACUGUGGCAAGAUUUCCAGGGAGGCUUGACAAAACCUUACCCUGACCUCGAGAGCAUGAAGAAUUUGGAAUGGACUUCACUUAGAAGAGAAAUUUAAGUUGGUGUAUUUGUCACAGGAAGUGAAAGAGAUUGAUUUAAAAUGAUGUAAGUGAUGAGCUCUAUAAAAAUGAUGACUAGAUAAUAAGUGUUUUCGAGUAACAAAGAGGAAAAAAAAAAACAUUGUUCACCCAACAGAGGCUUGUAGGCGGCUGGCUGUGUGUGUGUGAGCUGGCUCUUCAUUUAAGGAUUGUAUCACUUUUCCAAUAGUAGGUGCUCCUUUUUUCCUGUUUUUUUCUUUCUAUCAUUGUCAGAGAAUUUAUUGAAAAAGUUGCUUCCUCUUGUAAAUUUUGAGCCUUCAGAAGUUCCUCUGAAGUUUUCACUCUUUGUUCUGAUGACACAGGCGAUAAUGACUGACUGCAAACAAAAUUCAGAGAAAAGUGUAACCAGAGCGCCUAACCAAGGUGCCAGCAUUGCGGAGCAGUCCCAACAGAAACAGAGUUCUGUUUUCCCGGUUCCUGGAAAGAGAUGCCCUUCAGACAACAGCUUGGAGUGGAGGUCAGACAGCUGACACACCGUGCUUCCCCACAGCACAAGAUGUGCAGACCCCUUGCUGAAAUCUCAUGAAGUCAAGAUCCUCCAUGCCUGUGGAAGAUUUCAUCCUGGAGGCUUUCCACCGUUACAGCUGUGAAGUGAGACCACCAUUGGAUUUCAUGAAUUGUCUCUUUUCUUCAUUACCUUAUUGAGAUGUUUCCUUCUCCUAUUCUGGUUCUCUGUUUAUGCAGAGACUAAAGGAUGGUGUAUGUGUGUUAGACUGAGACCAGAUGAAAUGUUGGUGGGACUGGUUGCAAUAAGAACCAGGGCAGAGUUAAGGGCGAAAAUUUGGAAGAAGAGGAAGAGGAGAAUUGAAGUUGGCUGACUGAGAAAUGGGUCUGGGGAUGGAAAGGAUAGAAAUGAAACUGGGACUUUGGCAACAUAGGUGUGGUUCAGUUAAGAGCUAAAUAAUAGGAUGAGAAGGUGAGGAAUGCAGUCUGGGAUUAGGGAGGCAAUGAAAAUGAGGCAGAUGUGAAGAGCCAGGAGGAGAGAAGAGAAAGAUCUGAGUCAGGGUUGUUGGCAGUGGAGUGGAACAGGAGGACUCAAGCUUUGGAGGGGGGCAAGCAGGAGGGCCUGUGCCUGCUAGAGAACCAGGGCCCACAUGGUGCCCAAAAUGCCAAGUUUCACGGUUCCUCUGCGGUCGGUCAGGGUAGUGGUCAGCCCUAGAUUAUACAGAACUACACUCCAGAUGUCUAAAUGUGGUGUCUAAAUGUGUGAANNNNNNNNNNNNNNNNNNNNNNNNNNNNNNNNNNNNNNNNNNNNNNNNCUAAACAUCAGGACCUACAUCCACUUUUGAUGCCUUAGAAAAUUUCUUGAGGUGCCCUGGGAUACCCAAAUGACUGUAGGCACCUACUUUCAGGCAGCUGAAUUCCACCUUGACUCAAUUCAGUCCCAGGAGUUUGUAGAGAGACUCAGAUGCGGACUAUGCAGAAGAUUAGGCGGGCUCACGUAAAUGCUUGCCUCUGCCUCUGACUCCC
RNAcentral lists this long non-coding RNA (1626 nucleotides) under Struthio camelus australis. RNAcentral describes it as "lncRNA (ENSSCUG00000018510.1)". Lineage: Eukaryota; Metazoa; Chordata; Aves; Struthioniformes; Struthionidae. The record is from RNAcentral.